This 437-nucleotide ribosomal RNA is filed under the name uncultured Oscillospiraceae bacterium. Its description in RNAcentral is "bacterial SSU rRNA". It matches the Rfam family "Bacterial small subunit ribosomal RNA", at positions 341 to 792 of the family's 1533-position model. Lineage: Bacteria; Bacillati; Bacillota; Clostridia; Eubacteriales; Oscillospiraceae. The record is from RNAcentral.
ACGGAAGGCAGCAGUGGGGGAUAUUGCACAAUGGGCGCAAGCCUGAUGCAGCAACGCCGCGUGAGGGAAGACGGUUUUCGGAUUGUAAACCUCUGUCUUUGGUGAAGAAGAAAGUGACGGUAGCCAAGGAGGAAGCCACGGCUAACUACGUGCCAGCAGCCGCGGUAAUACGUAGGUGGCAAGCGUUGUCCGGAUUUACUGGGUGUAAAGGGAGCGCAGGCGGGACUGCAAGUUGGAUGUGAAAUGCCGCAGCUUAACUGCGGAGCUGCAUCCAAAACUGUAGUUCUUGAGUGAAGUAGAGGUAAGCGGAAUUCCGAGUGUAGCGGUGAAAUGCGUAGAUAUUCGGAGGAACACCAGUGGCGAAGGCGGCUUACUGGGCUUUAACUGACGCUGAGGCUCGAAAGUGUGGGGAGCAAACAGGAUUAGAUACCCUGGUA